This 279-nucleotide ribosomal RNA is filed under the name uncultured bacterium. RNAcentral describes it as "partial 16S ribosomal RNA". It matches the Rfam family "Bacterial small subunit ribosomal RNA", at positions 506 to 784 of the family's 1533-position model. The record is from RNAcentral.
UGCCAGCCGCCGCGGUAAUACGGAGGGAUCUAGCGUUAUUCGGAAUUACUGGGCGUAAAGCGAGCGUAGGCUGAUUUGUAAGUUGGAUGUGAAAUCCCAGAGCUUAACUCUGGAACUGCAUCCAAAACUACAUUUCUUGAGUUUGGUAGAGGAGAGUGGAAUCCCUAGUGUAGAGGUGAAAUUCGUAGGUAUUAGGAGGAACACCAGUGGCGAAGGCGACUCACUGGAUCGAUACUGACGCUGAGGUGCGAAAGCGUGGGGAGCAAACAGGAUUAGAUA